RNA transcript from Selaginella moellendorffii, 1017 nucleotides. It is a transcript of the gene named peroxiredoxin-6, with no coding region annotated. The record is from RefSeq and is a predicted model, not a curated record. The transcript has a single exon. NCBI's taxonomy places the organism in Eukaryota, Viridiplantae, Streptophyta, Lycopodiopsida, Selaginellales, Selaginellaceae.
CUCUCUCCGUGAUCUGUUAACAUCAGAUGGAAGCAGCGAAGAACAAAUCCGCGUAAAUGCCAGUGACCUCUUCACAAACAACUUUUUGUAAAGUCUUAAAGGUAUGGAAUAUUCGUCGGAACUUUCGUACAUAUUCCCGCUUUCACAGGAAAGCCGUUAUUGGCACCUACCCGGUGCAUACCGCCCACGUGUCCCACUUGAGUGGCUAGGAUAUAAAAGCCACUCAAAGGCACUGCAAAGAUUUAGGGUUCUUCGAAGAAAGAGGAGAGAGGAGGGGAAAAUGGGUCUGAAUUUGGGCGACAUUGUGCCGGAUUUCAAGGCGGAAUCCACAAUGGGAACCAUCAAAUUCCACGAGUAUAUCGACGGCAGCUGGGCGAUUCUCCUCUCCCACCCCAGCGAUUUCACGCCCGUGUGCACGUCGGAGCUGGGAUCCCUGGCGUCGCGCAUCCACGAAUUCGAUCGCCGCGGCGUCAAGGUGAUUGCUCUCAGCUGCAAUGACGUGAAUUCCCACCGCGAGUGGCUGGGCGACAUCGAGAGCUACUGCCCGGAGACCAAGGUGAAAUACCCUAUCGUCGCCGACCCAAGCCGCGAUCUGGCCGUCCGAUUCGGGAUGCUCGACCCCGUGGAGAAGGAUGCCGCGGGGAUGCCGCUGACUUGUCGCGCGUGCUUCGUGAUUGGCCCGGAUAAGAGGGUACGGCUGUCUAUCCUCUACCCGGCCAGUACGGGCAGGAACUUUAGCGAGCUCGUGCGCGUGAUCGAUUCCCUGCAGCUCACGGAUAAGUUUAGCGUGGCCACGCCCGCGAACUGGGAGAAUGGGAGGAAGUGUAUGAUUCUUCCCACUAUCUCGGACGAGAAGGCCAAGGAGAUGUUUCCAAAAGGAUUCGACACCGUCAAAGUUCCAUCUGGUAAGGCCUACAUCCGUCUCGUGGAGCAGCCAACUCUCUAGGAAAGCUUGGCUUUGCUCCAUAGCCUGUGCUCUAGAAAGCUAUGAAAUAAAACCUCUCAGAGUUUGUUUCC